UCAACAACUAGAGGUCACCGUGACCCAAAACUUCCUGCGUUCUCAGGCCUGGCAACGCCUGCCAAAGCUAGCCAUGGUGGGGGUAGGGGAGCGCCGCUUGUGGGGAGCUGACCAAGUGUGGUGUCGGCCGCCCUGCCUGCCAACAGACAGCAACACUGGUUUUCCACUGCCGGCCAUUCAUUGGACUUGGACAGCUUUGUUCCUUCUCUGGGACCAAGUCAACAAGCUGGGACCAGAGGAGCUGCGGCUGUAGCACGCAGGGACCGAACAAAAGAGCAAAUAUACAGAUAUCCCUGGAAGCCAGAGUUCUUGGAAGGAAGAAAUACACAUACAGAAUGGGAGAAGGCCUUCCUUCAUCCCCUCAACCCUCAGCUUUGUGGCCUCUAUCUUGGACUGUCAAAGGCCAGUUUAAACAAUGGUCACACAGAGAUUCACACUUCUCGCAAGCCCCAACUCAAUCUCCUGCCAUGUUUUUCAGCUGUCUGAAUCGUGUGCACGGUUGUGGGACAUUUGGACUACAGAUAAGAAAAUGUGGCACAUAUACACCAUGGAAUAGUAUGCAGCCAUAAAAAAUGAUGAGUUCAUGUCCUUUGUAGGGACAUGGAUGAAAUUGGAAAUCAUCAUUCUCAGUAAACUAUCGCAAGGACAAAAAACCAAACACCGCAUGUUCUCACUCAUAGGUGGGAAUUGAACAAUGAGAACACAUGGACACAGGAAGGGCAACAUCACACUCUGGGGACUGUUGUGGGGUGGGGGGAGGGGGGAGGGAUAGCAUUAGGAGAUACACCUAAUGCUAAAUGACGAGUUAACGGGUGCAGCACACCAGCAUGGCCCAUGUAUACAUAUGUAACUAACCUGCACAUUGUGCACAUGUACCCUAAAACUUAAGUAUAAUAAUAAUAAAAAAAAAGAAAAAAAAAGGAGAGAUUAAUAACACAUAAAUAGCCAACUGGUGGAGCAAAACUCUCACAACCAGCCCAGGACCACCUGCCACUUGAUUCGUAUGUACGAGAGAAAUAAUUUAUCUAGUGUAUUCUAUUUUUUAUUUUUUCUAUUGCUCCUGUAACAAAUUACCACUGUAUUAGUAGCUUAAAACAACUUGAAUUUAUUUUCAUACAGUUUUGGAUGUCAGAAGUCCAAAAUUCAAGGUGCAGGACUGCUUUCUUUCUGGAGGCCCUAGGGGAAGAAUCUGUUUCCCUGCUUUUUCCAGUGUGUAGAAGUCACCUACAUUCCUUAGGUCACGGCCUCUUCCUUGCAUUACAGCAACCUCUGCUUCAGUCAUCACAUUUUCUUUUCUGACUCUGCGCCUCCUCCCUCUCUCAUGUGAAGACUCUUGUGAUUACAUGGCGCCCACUCAAAUUGUUCAUG
RNAcentral lists this long non-coding RNA (1368 nucleotides) under Homo sapiens (human). RNAcentral's name for it is "HSALNT0066121". The record is from RNAcentral. Lineage: Eukaryota; Metazoa; Chordata; Mammalia; Primates; Hominidae.